This 270-nucleotide ribosomal RNA is filed under the name uncultured archaeon. RNAcentral describes it as "partial 16S ribosomal RNA". It matches the Rfam family "Archaeal small subunit ribosomal RNA", at positions 477 to 747 of the family's 1478-position model. The record is from RNAcentral.
CAGCACCUCAAGUGGUCAGGAUGAUUAUUGGGCCUAAAGCAUCCGUAGCCGGCGCUGUAAGUUUUCGGUUAAAUCUGUACGCUCAACGUACAGGCUGCCGGGAAUACUGCAGCGCUAGGGAGUGGGAGAGGUAGACGGUACUCGGUAGGAAGGGGUAAAAUCCUUUGAUCUAUUGAUGACCACCUGUGGCGAAGGCGGUCUACCAGAACACGUCCGACGGUGAGGGACGAAAGCUGGGGGAGCAAACCGGAUUAGAUACCCGAGUAGUCC